AUACUUACCUGGCAGGAGCGACAUCAUGAUCAUGAAGGUGGUUUGCUCAGGGUGAGGUAGUGAUGGCAAUCUGAAGCUUUCUGAAGCAACAAAGCUUUCAACACUAUUGUAUCGAAAAAAGGUUCAGAACUCGAAGCUUUUC
Molecule: small nuclear RNA, 142 nt
Filed under: Salarias fasciatus (jewelled blenny)
Lineage: Eukaryota; Metazoa; Chordata; Actinopteri; Blenniiformes; Blenniidae
Description: U1 spliceosomal RNA (ENSSFAG00005001346.1)
Rfam family: U1 spliceosomal RNA
About the family: U1 is a small nuclear RNA (snRNA) component of the spliceosome (involved in pre-mRNA splicing).
Source: RNAcentral